AAUAAUCUUUCAAUGAUUGUUGACAAGCAGUUCAAAGAAAAAGAGAAUCUUUGCUCAGUUGGUGAAGAAAAAAGCGUGCAAGCGUGAUCUUUUUAACGAUUAUUUGAAGCUCUGCUACGAUAAUACAGGUUUGUACUGCUA
Xenia sp. Carnegie-2017 is the source of this 141-nucleotide long non-coding RNA. RefSeq lists it as uncharacterized. The transcript is spliced from 2 exons. NCBI's taxonomy places the organism in Eukaryota, Metazoa, Cnidaria, Anthozoa, Malacalcyonacea, Xeniidae. The record is from RefSeq and is a predicted model, not a curated record.